Perca fluviatilis (European perch) is the source of this 1020-nucleotide long non-coding RNA. RefSeq lists it as uncharacterized. Lineage: Eukaryota; Metazoa; Chordata; Actinopteri; Perciformes; Percidae. The record is from RefSeq and is a predicted model, not a curated record. The transcript has 18 exons.
GCGGGACAUAAAACCCAGACGGACCUGUUUCCUCGUUCACUUCCUUCUCUGCUCUGUUCGAGGUGGCGUAAGAGCCAGAAACAACUUACUGCAAAGGUGUGAAGACUGGUGAACACCACAUAAGGUGUACCUAUGCCAAUCAAAGAUGACUGACAAGAAUAAAGGACUUUAGCAGGUUGGUCUACCCUGCCCUCUCACUAAUCUCAAAGCAGCUGCAAAGUGCAGAAGUGGGGGUUUGAACAAGAAGUUGGGGAAAGGAUGCCCCAUGGAUAUCUCAACAUAGCCAUGAGUGGAUUCUUGAAGAGGAAGGCAUCCAUUGAAGCCUCAUGGCUUUUGAAUAAGCUAGUAAAUGACCGGUUUUCUGCCUAGUGACUGCAUCAACAGCAUGCUGAGGCCUUCUCAUCAAAGGUACCUACUGGGUUAUGGAAGUUGCUCACUUUUCUCCAACAAAGGAGUUUGCCCAGGUACCUAGCUUUGGAAGAUGCUGCCAUCUUCUCCACAACAAAGGGCUGCCUUUGGAUGGAACUACCUAGAAACAAGCUGACUAGGUCCUAAUUUGAAUGUGUGAACUGAGGACAUGGUCAUUGCAAAAACAAAGCUCCAACAAUUGAGGUUUGAUGCUUUCGGACUGUGGGACAGCGCACACACCUGGGACUGCAGCAGGUGUGGCAGCAUGAAAUCUCUGGCUUGAUCUUGUUGGUUUGGUGAUGUGUCAGACUUGAGUGCGAGAACCAGACACCUGGGAGUGCUGCAGGAUGAAGUCAUCACAUGGCCUUGAUCUUAUGCUCACUGUGAUAUGUGUUGAAUUCAUCUGGAUCUGCUGCAUUGGGAUCUAUGAACUUGGGUGCCUUAUCCAUCAGCAGUGUUGAAAUGCCAACGGGAUUGCUGCAGUUCCUCUAGAGAUCAAGGGAUGCUCCAGAAAAUUAAACGUGAAUCUACCAACUGCUGCACGGUUGCAGUACAACAUGAUCUCAUUUAGUUAACUGCAAGGAUUGUUUCAAAUAAAGCUAUUAAAACUAA